RNAcentral lists this unclassified non-coding RNA (337 nucleotides) under soil metagenome. Its description in RNAcentral is "partial contains 5.8S ribosomal RNA, internal transcribed spacer 2, and large subunit ribosomal RNA". The stretch from base 1 to 120 matches the Rfam family "5.8S ribosomal RNA", at positions 35 to 154 of the family's 154-position model. The record is from RNAcentral.
GAUGAAGAACGUAGCGAAAUGCGAUAAGUAAUGUGAAUUGCAGAAUUCAGUGAAUCGUCGAAUCUUUGAACGCACAUUGCGCCCGCCAGUAUUCUGGCGGGCAUGCCUGUUCGAGCGUCAUUUCAACCAUCAAGCCCCCGGGCUUGUGUUGGGGACCUGCGGCUGCCGCAGGCCCUGAAAAGCAGUGGCGGGCUCGCUGUCACACCGAGCGUAGUAGAUUUUAUCUCGCUCUGGGCGUGCUGCGGGUUCCGGCCGUUAAACCACCCUUUUAACCCAAGGUUGACCUCGGAUCAGGUAGGAAGACCCGCUGAACUUAAGCAUAUCAAUAAGCGGAGGA